RNAcentral lists this ribosomal RNA (283 nucleotides) under uncultured Methanosarcina sp. RNAcentral's name for it is "partial 16S ribosomal RNA". It matches the Rfam family "Archaeal small subunit ribosomal RNA", at positions 322 to 605 of the family's 1478-position model. The record is from RNAcentral. Lineage: Archaea; Methanobacteriati; Methanobacteriota; Methanomicrobia; Methanosarcinales; Methanosarcinaceae.
CCUACGGGGGGCAGCAGGCGCGAAAACUUUACAAUGCGGGAAACCGUGAUAAGGGGACACCGAGUGCCAGCAUCAUAUGCUGGCUGUCCGGAUGUGUAAAAUACAUCCGUUAGCAAGGGCCGGGCAAGACCGGUGCCAGCCGCCGCGGUAACACCGGCGGCCCGAGUGGUGAUCGUGAUUAUUGGGUCUAAAGGGUCCGUAGCCGGUUUGGUCAGUCCUCCGGGAAAUCUGAUAGCUCAACUAUUAGGCUUUCGGGGGAUACUGCCAGACUUGGAACCGGGAG